Molecule: non-coding RNA, 631 nt
Organism: Pelobates cultripes (western spadefoot toad)
Lineage: Eukaryota; Metazoa; Chordata; Amphibia; Anura; Pelobatidae
Source: the annotation of a GenBank genome assembly
CUAUUUUGUUAUUUUUAUUUUUGUAGAGUUAGCCGGAGAGAGAGGAAGUGUUAGCUUACUCAGGCAUGGAUGUACUAUUAGUGUCAUUGAUGUAUGUUGAGUGUACCAAGGAUGGAUUCCAAUGUAUUAAGUGUGGAUAUGACUGGACCAUUGAAAUAGGGAUUUGAUUAGGAGGCAUAGGACGCAAGGUCAUGAUUGGGAUUAUUGCUAGAAUUGCAAACUGAUUAGAAAUGAUUUUAUGAUUUAAUAUGUAAGUGGGACUUUUCAAACUAAUCAAGAAGUGUUUCCCAAUCCCGAUACCCGAGCUAUUUACUUACAAGUGCAGGUUUUAUACGUCACUAAUGCUGUUAACGUGAGGGGAUGACAUGUCUACACAGUCAUGGCCCUCACUUAGAGUUUCCCCAGAUGUGCUUUUUUCCUCAGUUAUGAGUUUUUGCCACUGGGUUUUUUGACCUGGCCCAAGUUCACUGGGUGGACUGGUAAUCCAAGACCCUGGUCCAAAGAGGGGAAAUAGAUUUUAUUCCCAUUUUUGAUUAUAUGUGUUUACGUUGUGAAUUAUAAUAAUAAUAUUCCCGUUGUUAGGAAUAAUACACUUUGCCUGUUUUGAUCCAAGGAUCAAGUUACAGAUAAC